GAGGAAUAUUGGUCAAUGGGCGCAAGCCUGAACCAGCCAAGUAGCGUGCAGGAAGACGGCCCUAUGGGUUGUAAACUGCUUUUAUACGAGAAUAAUUUGAUGCACGUGUGCGUUAUUGCAUGUAUCGUAUGAAUAAGGACCGGCUAAUUCCGUGCCAGCAGCCGCGGUAAUACGGAAGGUCCAGGCGUUAUCCGGAUUUAUUGGGUUUAAAGGGAGUGUAGGCGGUUUGUUAAGCGUGUUGUGAAAUUUAGAUGCUCAACAUUUAACUUGCAGCGCGAACUGUCAGACUUGAGUACACGCAACGUAUGCGGAAUUCAUGGUGUAGCGGUGAAAUGCUUAGAUAUCAUGAAGAACUCCGAUUGCGAAGGCAGCAUACGGGAGUGUAACUGACGCUUAAGCUCGAAGGUGCGGGUAUCGAACAGGAUUAGAUACCCUGGUAGUCCGCACAGUAAACGAUGGAUGCCCGCUGUUGGUACCUGGUAUCAGCGGCUAAGCGAAAGCAUUAAGCAUCCCACCUGGGGAGUACGCCGGCAACGGUG
RNAcentral lists this ribosomal RNA (539 nucleotides) under uncultured bacterium. Its description in RNAcentral is "bacterial SSU rRNA". It matches the Rfam family "Bacterial small subunit ribosomal RNA", at positions 356 to 896 of the family's 1533-position model. The record is from RNAcentral.